This 1134-nucleotide long non-coding RNA is filed under the name Macaca fascicularis (crab-eating macaque). Its description in RNAcentral is "lncRNA (ENSMFAG00000061326.1)". The record is from RNAcentral. Lineage: Eukaryota; Metazoa; Chordata; Mammalia; Primates; Cercopithecidae.
CUACUUAAUAUCUCAGAAGUUCUGGCUCUGUGUGGCCCCUCUAGGUUCCUUGCUUAGGGCCUGGUAGGACCAAAAUCAAUGAUCCAGCAGAGCUGCAUUGUUUACUAGCGACUCUGGGGAAGAAUUCCCAUACAAACUCAUUCUGGAUGUUGGCAGAAUUCAAUUCCUCCUUGGGGUUUCCACCUGGUCCCCUCUGUCUCCAAGCUAGCAAAGGAGGAUUGAGUCUUCAUGCUUUUUUGAAUCUCUCUGACUUUCCCUUCUGUCUCCUUCUUCUGCUUUUCAGGGUUCAUGUGAUUAUACUAGGCCUAUCUGGGUAACUCAGAAUAAUUUCCUGAUUUUAACAAUCACAUCUAUGAUAUAAAGUCCUUUUGUCAUAUAAUGUAAAGCAUUCACAGGAUUAACACCAGCGGCUGAAGGUCAUGGGAGUAAAAAUUCUGCCUACUGCACAUGUUCCUGGAAACAUUAAUCAGAAUUGACCAUAUGCUGAGCCAUAAAGCAAGAUCCCAAAGUUUCAAAAGAGUGCAGUAAUUCAUAAUAUGUUCUCUCAGUACAGUGGAACUGAACUGGAAAUCAAUAAAGAACGAUAUUGAUAAAAUCCCCAACUGCUUGGAAAUUAAGCACUGCACUUUCAAAUAACUCAUGAUUCAAAUAAACAAUCGCAAAAGAAACUAGAAAAUAUUUUGAUCUGAAUGAUAAUAAAGAUACACGGGGUGUAAUCAGUGAUUAGAGUGAACAUUGUGUGGUAAAAUUUGGAAAGCUUUCCAUUUGAGAUCAAGGAUAAGACAAGGAUGUCCACCAUCACCAGUUUUAUUCAAGAUUGUAUUGGAAUUGAUAAAAUAACAAUGAGGCAAAAAAAAAAAAAAUAGUCCUGAGUCGCUUAACAAUGGGGAUUCUGAGAAAUGAAUCAUUGUCCAAACACUGUAGAGUAUAUUACACAAACUUAGAUGGUAUAGCCUACUACACACCUAGCUGAUAUAUAGCCUAUUGCUCCGAGGCUGCAAACUUGUACAGCAUGUUAUGGUACUGAAUACUAUAAGCAAAUGUAACAUAGUGGUAAGUAUAUGUGUAUCAUAUUUAAACAGAAAAAGCAUAGUAAAAAUACUGUAUGAAAGAUUUAAAAAAAAAAAAAAAAAA